GUGGCUUCUUUCUAAUUUUAGAUCAAAAACUCUGAAUGGUUUUUGUGAUGGAAAGAAGCCUAAAUAGAUUUGCUAUCCUUUGCUUCAAUUUGAUUUCGCUUUGGGACGUCCCCUAAAUUA
Small nucleolar RNA from Hibiscus syriacus, 120 nucleotides. RefSeq annotates it as small nucleolar RNA snoR136. NCBI's taxonomy places the organism in Eukaryota, Viridiplantae, Streptophyta, Magnoliopsida, Malvales, Malvaceae. The record is from RefSeq and is a predicted model, not a curated record. The transcript has a single exon.